Molecule: long non-coding RNA, 733 nt
Organism: Sebastes umbrosus (honeycomb rockfish)
Lineage: Eukaryota; Metazoa; Chordata; Actinopteri; Perciformes; Sebastidae
Exons: 3
Source: RefSeq, a predicted model, not a curated record
CGCCGCUCAAUCUGUUCCCGUUUGGUUGAAUAAAAGCACGGAUGGGCGCGGAUGAAAAGUGCUUUGUUUGCUCAGAUCGCCUCACGUUGUGAUGUGACGGCGACAGACUCUCAUAUUUACAUGCCAGGCCUCAGGUGUGUCGACGCCGCCGCCGCCUCAACAACAACAACCCUCCUGACGGUUCCUUCAGAUGAUGACAAACACUGACCUGAGGCGAUGAUGAUGUUAUAUCAUCAUGAUGUUACCUUGAUGCUGUGCCUGUGGGCGGCGUCCAUGACAGCAGGAACCAGGUCCUCGGUGGGCUCCCCGUGGUCGUCUGCCACCCCGGGAGGAUACCAGGACAAAACCAGCACCCCUACAACACCACAGCAGGAGGAGGAACACUGAUCUGAGUACAGUCAGUGGCUUUGAUGCCGAAAAAUAAAAAGACGCCAAGGGGCGUGACAAAGCGGUGGUCUGUGAUGAGUUGGGAUGAGAAACUGUUGGGUAUUCAGUUGGUUGCAAUCUGCAACCACACCACUAGAUACCACCAAAUCAUACACACUGUACAUUUAAAAAGUAAAUUAUGAGUGUCAAUAAGUGUUCUUCAUUAAUAUUUACAAAUAAAAAAACUGAAACUCACUAUUUUUUCUAUUAUUAUUAUUAUUAUUCAAUCAAUGUGCACCUUUAAAAUUUAAAGGCCACUGUAGAAACGUGGGAAGAGGACCCGCUCCCUAUGUAGAUAUAAACGGCU